This 335-nucleotide long non-coding RNA is filed under the name Anas platyrhynchos platyrhynchos (common mallard). RNAcentral describes it as "lncRNA (ENSAPLG00000017632.1)". The record is from RNAcentral. Lineage: Eukaryota; Metazoa; Chordata; Aves; Anseriformes; Anatidae.
GAGCAGACAGCUUCCUGCUUCCGAAAGAUCCUGAUCAACAUUUACAUACAUGCCAAUAUAUUUGUCUCUGAAGCUUUACAGAUAUUGGGAUUCAUCACAGCUGAAAAAGGACAUGCAAAUCUGAAGAUGUAAUGCAUCUAGAAAGGAAGCACACUCCUCUACAAAGAGAGAAGUUUGAGCAGAAGUUUGAGCAGCCAACUGCCAGUUCCAUUUUUCUAGGACCCUCCCUAGCAAGGCAAUGUGGAGAUAAGCAUUUCUCCUCCCAGCAAGUUCAGCUCCUUGAUGAAGGCCGAGGCAGCCCUGCCAGCUCCAGAUCUCGGCAGCUGCAGUUGCGG